GCCACUGCUAUCGGAGUUCGAUUAAGCCAUGCGAGUCGAGAGGUGUAAGACCUCGGCAUACUGCUCAGUAACACGUGGACAACCUACCCUGAAGUGAGGGAUAAUCCCGGGAAACUGGGGAUAAUAUCUCAUAGACUAUGGAUGCUGGAAUGCUCUGUAGUUCAAAGGUCCGCCGCUUCAGGAUGGGUCUGCGGCCGAUUAGGUUGUUGUUGGGGUAACGGCCCAACAAGCCUGUAAUCGGUACGGGUUGUGGGAGCAAGAGCCCGGAGAUGGAUUCUGAGACACGAAUCCAGGCCCUACGGGGCGCAGCAGGCGCGAAAACUUUGCAAUGCGAGAAAUCGUGACAAGGGAACUCCGAGUGCCUGUAAAAUCAGGCUGUCCGCCAGUGUAAAUCACUGGCGAAGAAAGGGCCGGGCAAGACCGGUGCCAGCCG
This 433-nucleotide ribosomal RNA is filed under the name uncultured archaeon. RNAcentral describes it as "bacterial SSU rRNA". It matches the Rfam family "Archaeal small subunit ribosomal RNA", at positions 23 to 464 of the family's 1478-position model. The record is from RNAcentral.